This 729-nucleotide ribosomal RNA is filed under the name uncultured Bacilli bacterium. RNAcentral's name for it is "bacterial SSU rRNA". It matches the Rfam family "Bacterial small subunit ribosomal RNA", at positions 50 to 752 of the family's 1533-position model. Lineage: Bacteria; Bacillati; Bacillota; Bacilli. The record is from RNAcentral.
CGAGCGAGCUUGCCUAGAUGAAUUUGGUGCUUGCACCAAAUGAAACUAGAUACAAGCGAGCGGCGGACGGGUGAGUAACACGUGGGUAACCUGCCCAAGAGACUGGGAUAACACCUGGAAACAGAUGCUAAUACCGGAUAACAACACUAGACGCAUGUCUAGAGUUUAAAAGAUGGUUCUGCUAUCACUCUUGGAUGGACCUGCGGUGCAUUAGCUAGUUGGUAAGGUAACGGCUUACCAAGGCAAUGAUGCAUAGCCGAGUUGAGAGACUGAUCGGCCACAUUGGGACUGAGACACGGCCCAAACUCCUACGGGAGGCAGCAGUAGGGAAUCUUCCACAAUGGACGCAAGUCUGAUGGAGCAACGCCGCGUGAGUGAAGAAGGGUUUCGGCUCGUAAAGCUCUGUUGGUAGUGAAGAAAGAUAGAGGUAGUAACUGGCCUUUAUUUGACGGUAAUUACUUAGAAAGUCACGGCUAACUACGUGCCAGCAGCCGCGGUAAUACGUAGGUGGCAAGCGUUGUCCGGAUUUAUUGGGCGUAAAGCGAGUGCAGGCGGUUCAAUAAGUCUGAUGUGAAAGCCUUCGGCUCAACCGGAGAAUUGCAUCAGAAACUGUUGAACUUGAGUGCAGAAGAGGAGAGUGGAACUCCAUGUGUAGCGGUGGAAUGCGUAGAUAUAUGGAAGAACACCAGUGGCGAAGGCGGCUCUCUGGUCUGCAACUGACGCUGAGGC